AGCGAACGCUGGCGGCAGGCUUAACACAUGCAAGUCGAGCGGACCUUUCGGGGCCAGCGGCGGACGGGUGAGUAACGCGUGGGAACGUGCCUUCCGGUUCGGAAUAACCCUGGGAAACUAGGGCUAAUACCGGAUACGCCCUUAUGGAGAAAGGUUUACUGCCGGAAGAUCGGCCCGCGUCUGAUUAGCUAGUUGGUGGGGUAACGGCCUACCAAGGCGACGAUCAGUAGCUGGUCUGAGAGGAUGAUCAGCCACACUGGGACUGAGACACGGCCCAGACUCCUACGGGAAGCAGCAGUGGGGAAUAUUGGACAAUGGGCGCAAGCCUGAUCCAGCCAUGCCGCGUGAGUGAUGAAGGCCUUAGGGUUGUAAAGCUCUUUUAUCCGGGACGAUAAUGACGGUACCGGAGGAAUAAGCCCCGGCUAACUUCGUG
RNAcentral lists this ribosomal RNA (433 nucleotides) under uncultured bacterium. Its description in RNAcentral is "partial 16S ribosomal RNA". It matches the Rfam family "Bacterial small subunit ribosomal RNA", at positions 29 to 507 of the family's 1533-position model. The record is from RNAcentral.